RNAcentral lists this long non-coding RNA (1013 nucleotides) under Oryctolagus cuniculus (rabbit). Its description in RNAcentral is "lncRNA (ENSOCUG00000033042.1)". Lineage: Eukaryota; Metazoa; Chordata; Mammalia; Lagomorpha; Leporidae. The record is from RNAcentral.
UUUUAAUUUAACAAUAGUUGUUGUUGUGCUGUGUGCUUUCUAUAGGUUCUCUAACAAAUCAUUUUGUAGGUUAACCUACUUGGUCCUCAAAACACCUUUAUUAGCCAGGUAUUUUGUCUUCUGUUUCAUAGACAACGAAACUGAUUAUUGAAGUACUUCACUUACUUGCCCAGAGACUAAAGCAUUGGAAGUGGGAUUAGAAUGGGUCUGUGUAUAUGAUGGUCAACUUUAUAUGUCAAUUUUGGGGUGAUAUAUAUAUAUGCUCAAGUUUUUUCUGAGUGUUUCUUUUUUAUUUUUAUUUAUUUUUUUAUGUGAUAGAUAGAGUUAGACAGUGAGAGAGAGAGGCAGAGAGAAAGGUCUUCCUUCCGUUGGUUCACCCCCUAAAUGGCUGCUAUGGCCGGUGUGCUGCGCUGAUCCGAAGCCAGGAGCCAGGUACUUAUCCUGGUCUCCCAUGCGGGUGCAGGGCCCAAGGACUUGGGCCAUCCUCCACUGCCCUCCCGGGCCACAACAGAGAGCUGGACUGGAAGAGGAGCAACCAGGACAGAAUUUGGCGCCCGUAUGGGAUGCUGGCGCCACAGGAGGAGGAUUAACCAAGUGAGCCAUGGCACCGGCCAUGAGUGUUUCGUUUUUUCAAAAGAGUUUGUUUCUCUUUAUUUAUUUGAAAGGCAAAGUAGAAGAGAGAAAUUAAUUUCAGAAAACAUCUGCAAAAGUUUUUGUCUGGCCCAGAAUCUCAGGAAUGUCGCUGUCAUGGAUUCUUCUUAGUGUGGAUGAAAUCAAGGGAAGUGGGUAGGAGAGCUUUCUAUCACCCUAAACAGCAGUCACUGCCUUGCCAUUUAGGCGAAAUAUCACCAAACCAGUGGUUCCCUUAAGGUUCUUGUUAUAGGCACAGCAAAAUGCUGGCUGCACUUACGCUGGAGGAGCUACACAUUUUUAACCCACAUUGAAAGAAAACAGAGAUCAUUCCGUUUAUUACUCACUUUAUGGAGAAGUUUAAUAGAUGAAAUGCAUUAGCU